GCCUCACUCCCGCAUCUCGCGCGUCGCCGCCUAGCUGCUCCCCACGCCACCGCCUGCGCUCACCCUCGCGUCGUCGCCUCCGCUCGCCCUCGCGCCGUCGCCUCCGCUCGCCCUCGCGCCGUCGCCUCGUCUCUUGCUCCCCCGCCCUCUCGAUGCUCCGCAGCGCAACACCAGGAGAGCGCGAGCGCGAGCAGCCACGACCCUCUCCUCCUCUCCCACGCUCGUUCCCAUGUUGCCUCUCUCAUGCCGCCGCCGCCCCAUCUCCUCUCGCACUUCCUGUCCUGCUGAGCCCGCCCUCCCGUGCUUCACCACCUGGCCGCCUCUCGCUUCGAGGGGUGAAGGACGUCGAGCAGAUGAGUCCCACUGUCAACGGUGGUGAGGGUGACACACAACUCCGACGAGCUCGGCAGUGGGGAGACCGACGGACAACCCACGGUCGUCGCUUGCACGAGAAGGCGAGGGAGGCGACCUGAUGCGAAGCGCCCACUCAGUGCUUCCCCGCCAAAUCCAGCCGCCACCAGCUCGCUUCGGCCUCCUCAUCUUCGUGCAUCUCUGGGAAGAAGACAACCCAAGCUGAGUUGCCUGCCGAGCCGCAGUGAGAAGACAACGGGGGGCAGAACCCCAAGGGCAGAGUUGCAGUCCUCUAGAGCUGCGGGGAGGAAGAAGAAGAAGGCUCAUAUAUAUGCCUCUCUCAGGUGUGAACACUCUUCCCUGGAAUCGAAGAUCUGCCUAUCCCUGCAUCAUGUAAAGUGCGGCCUGCAGUUUGGAGAUGAGACGUUGAGGCCCUUUGUGCUGUUGGAGGCUGCUGGGUACUGUUGGAGCCGUUUGGUUCAUUCAUAUGGCAAAUCAAGUGGGCACUGUCACUGAGGCCAUAGAGGCUGUGAAACAGGCAAAGGAUGCUCAUUGGGGUGUGAUGGUGUCGUAUAGGUAUGGGGACACGGAUGAUUCUUUCAUCGCCGACCUGAUUGUCGGUGCAACAACUGGACAGAUCAAAGCCGGUGCCCCCUGCUGUGGAGAGUGCCUCAUGAAAUACAAUCAGCUUCUAAGAAUAGAGGAAGAACUUGGAAGCGAAGGGGUUUACGCUGGUAAAAAUUGGAGAACUACCCCGAGCUGACUCGUGGCUCACUGGAUUCCGCUGAUGCGGUCCGGGGGGUUUCUGUAAAGAUGUGUUUUGUGCUGGCUCAGCAAAGAUAAAAUUGUAGCAUUUGUUUGUUAACGAAGGAUCCUUAAAUUCUCCCUUGAACCUCAUACCUUGCCCUAUUUUGCAGCUCAGGGUUGUAAUUUGUCUAGGAGCCCGCUACUGGGUCAGGCGUGGUUAAUUUUAGUUGCUCUGUUUCAGAAAUGUUGCUUGUUCCUCAGUGUCUAGGACGACCAGUAAAAAAAUUGUUGUUGGUAGUUGUCACAGCUCACAAGUAGAUUUGGUGUACUGCGCAUCAUAUAUAAAUGCUGCCUGUAGCCAAAGAUUGAGUACCUCUAGAUGGAUAGAUUCAUUUGAUUGCAUGACCUGAAUUUAUGAUACCCAUUUUAUAGUACAGAAGAUGCACGAGGCAUCUGUUUUUUGUCAUAAAAAUGCAUAGGACCAUUCCCCUUUUCUUGUAUUGUUACCCACUUUGGAAGAGUAACAUGUUAUUGUGACGAAUCAGGUUGUUAUCGUGCUGAGGAUGCUAUGGGAAAACAGGGACAUGUUUGAUCUUGUUAUCAGUGAUGUGCACAUGCCAGACAUGGAUGGCUUUAAGCUUCUUGAGCUUGAUAUGGACCUCCCUGUCAUCAGAGUAAUGGAAUGUUAAUUGGCUGGUGGCGGCAUGUUCAACUAUGGGAAAUGAUGAGCUCCUACUUUUAUGCCAGCUCUAUGUCGUAGGUUGACCAUACUAUUGUGAGAAUCUCGGCCAGGAUCAUUCUUUAUAUCAUGUUGGUUCAUCUUGGAAUUCGUACAGCCGUUUAUCGUCGAAGGAUUUACUCACAGAACACAAUCAGUGUGAUUAUGCUUUUCUACACUUCUGUCCAGAGCAAUGGAUAUGUAUUUUGUAUUGUACGACUACCCUCUAAUGCACUACUCAGCCUUCAGUCUCUCUAUGUACAAAUGACUUGAUCUAAUUAUUGUGAAUGACCUGUGGAGUGCGAUGCUUCCUAUAUAAAUGACUUGUUCUAAUUCUGAUUUAUCA
Molecule: non-coding RNA, 2162 nt
Organism: Aegilops tauschii subsp. strangulata
Lineage: Eukaryota; Viridiplantae; Streptophyta; Magnoliopsida; Poales; Poaceae
Source: RefSeq, a predicted model, not a curated record